ACCAAUCCCAAAAAGCUCAUUAAUUUUUUCAGAGGAAGGCUCACUGUAAAUAAAACUUGGAUGGUCAGAUCACAAUUAAAAGUUACAGUGCUAUUUAAAAAUGAAUAUGGCUGUUCAGCAGAAAUUACUUUUCUUCCGAGAAAAGUGUUUUUGAGAAUGUUAAUAACAUCUCGGUCCAAAAUUCCUCCGCAUCCUGCAUUCCAUCAAUGAUGUCAUUUAGCAUAUAAUUUCAAAUAUACCAAUAAAUUGACUGGUUACAAACCGUGAGCACAGUCCAAAAUGCAGAGUCAGAUACCUAGUUUACAAGAUAUGUAUAAACAUUCAUGGAUUACAAACAGUGAGUAACCUGUUGCAUGUAGGAAUCCCCUUCUUUUUGCUGAAACUGGUUGUUCUUAGCCCGCAACAUCUGAUUAGAUUACACCACACAACAAUUAUUGAGAAUAUCUAGAGAAUAUUACAAUAUGUCAUACUGAAAAGUCUAUAAACUUGUGUGUUUACAAAAGUCUAUAAAAGUCUAAGAAGUGUUUUCAUUAAUCAAAAUAGAGAAAAUUCUAGGAACUGCUGUGAAAGCGGAUACCUCUUCGAAUUAUCAGUCCGAAAUUGAACCGUGUUGCCUUAAUUACGAAUAUGGUUACAAUUCCUUCCAUUCUAAACAUAAGUUAUCUAGUCUUUAUGCUCUAAUUGUACCAACAUUUUCCAUCGAAUACUAUGGAGCUGUUUAUAUCAUAAAUCUUGAUGAUUAAUAUGAUGAAAUGAGAACAACAUUAUGAAAUUAGGAUCAGUUUAUGUUUUAUAUAACUACUGACAUGGCAUAGACAGCAACAUAAGAUGUUUUAUUUCUUAAAAAACCUUGUUAACAUAUAAUUGACUAUGUUGGGGUGCUAAGAGCUGAAUGGAAAAACACCUGACCUUUAAAAAUCGCUCUGGUUUAAUCGCCUUGUCACUUUGACUAAGGUCUCUAAAAAGAUCACGAGCCUCAAUAGUCAAGUCAUGCGCUUUCUGAUCAGUAUUUUUACCCUUGUGGUCUGAAUACCUGCAUCAGUGGAAUUACAGAAGGCAAGGAAAUUAUUAAUAGUACAAAUAUUUCCAGCACCAAUGGAAGGGGAUCGGGGCGUUAAUUUUUGCAGAACCUCAUUAAGAUGGAAGUCAGCUCAGGUACGGCACGUAAACAUUGGAUCGUUGAAUUCAUAUAGCAUGUAUUGCCUAGAUUGUGCAAACCAAUAGGCGCAGCAAUGUCAAUGCGUUCCUGAGAUUCAAAACAACAAAGAUUAAUGUUACAACUUACAGGAGUUGAGAAUAACAAGGAUAAACCGCCAGGUAGAUCAUUACCUUGCAUGAAACAACCUGUUUUGCAGCGAAGCUUUCUGAUUCCAGCAUUGGCACUGAUACGGGAUGAUGCGCUACUCUGGUAUGUACAGAAGCACUUGGAAGGGUAGUAUCCUUGGGGCCUGCAGGGUUGGUGUUAUUUUCUGCUGAACCUCCUGCUUCCUUUUUUGCGGUAUGUUUGGAAAAAUACCCAACAUCACCGAUCUGGCUGCCAUGCAGUCUUUCUUCCAGCGGCGGGCAGCCGUCAAACGUUCAUCUCCCAGAAUCUCUUGCCCACAGAAGUUGUGAUAUAUGUGAUAAAAGAGAUCAUCAGAUCGGGCUGCUUCUGGCAAGUGAAGAAUAAGCGUCUGUCCAGCAGCGAUCGCCUUGUUUCUCGACUGCAGUGUAUGCAAAUCUGGGCUAUCUACGCACCGGUACAUUUCUUUGAAUGAUGGGAGGAUUGCAGGAUAUCCUAAUCCAGAUUUCUGAGCAUUUACAUAGUUCCCACACCAAGGCAAUAGACUAGCCAUGCUUAUGUAAAUAGGCUUUGCUUGGGCCCUGCUCUGUUUGCCACUUGUUUUGAUCCUGUUUUCCUUAGCUUUGAUAUCCUUUGGAUUCCCUGUACUUACGAUUAUGUAACCGUCUAGGUAGCCUGAUGGGCCAUCAAUGACGGCACAUAACCACUGGGACUUGUAGUGCAUAUAGACCAGGAAGUUACCAGAACUAGGGAGAACGCAACUUGAUUUGCCAGGCAUCCCAAACUCAAACCUUUCAUCACUAUUGUUAUAACACCAUAA
Triticum aestivum (bread wheat) is the source of this 2102-nucleotide long non-coding RNA. RefSeq lists it as uncharacterized. The transcript has 2 exons. The record is from RefSeq and is a predicted model, not a curated record. NCBI's taxonomy places the organism in Eukaryota, Viridiplantae, Streptophyta, Magnoliopsida, Poales, Poaceae.